GUCGGAACGUGCCCUCCGGUCGGGGAUAGCGGCGGGAAACCGCCGGUAAUACCCGAUGAACUCGAGAGAGCAAAGGUGUGAUUCCGCCGGAGGAGCGGCCGACAUGGUAUUAGCUAGUUGGCGGGGUAAUGGCCCACCAAGGCUGUGAUGCCUAGGGGAUGUGAGAGCAUGAUCCCCACCAUUGGGACUGAGACACUGCCCAGACACCUACGGGUGGCUGCAGUCGAGAAUCUUCGUCAAUGGGCGAAAGCCUGAACGAGCGACGCCGCGUGCGGGAUGAAGGCCCUUGGGUUGUAAACCGCUGUCGAGGGGGAUGAAGGUCAAAGGGUACUCCUUUUGAUUUGACAGAGCCCAGAAGGAAGCACGGGCUAAGUUCGUGCCAGCAGCCGCGGUAAUACGAACUGUGCGAACGUUAUUCGGAAUCACUGGGCUUACAGGGUGCGUAGGCGGCCCGACAAGUCAGGUGUGAAAGCCCUCGGCUCAACCGAGGAACUGCGCUUGAAACUGUUGGGCUC
RNAcentral lists this ribosomal RNA (515 nucleotides) under uncultured Planctomycetota bacterium. RNAcentral's name for it is "bacterial SSU rRNA". It matches the Rfam family "Bacterial small subunit ribosomal RNA", at positions 117 to 643 of the family's 1533-position model. Lineage: Bacteria; Pseudomonadati; Planctomycetota. The record is from RNAcentral.